AUUGAACGCUGGCGGCAGGCCUAACACAUGCAAGUCGAGCGGAUGAAGGGAGCUUGCUCCUGGAUUCAGCGGCGGACGGGUGAGUAAUGCCUAGGAAUCUGCCUGGUAGUGGGGGAUAACGUCCGGAAACGGGCGCUAAUACCGCAUACGUCCUGAGGGAGAAAGUGGGGGAUCUUCGGACCUCACGCUAUCAGAUGAGCCUAGGUCGGAUUGGCUAGUUGGUGGGGUAAAGGCCUACCAAGGCGACGAUCCGUAGCUGGUCUGAGAGGAUGAUCAGUCACACUGGAACUGAGACACGGUCCAGACUCCUACGGGAGGCAGCAGUGGGGAAUAUUGGACAAUGGGCGAAAGCCUGAUCCAGCCAUGCCGCGUGUGUGAAGAAGGUCUUCGGAUUGUAAAGCACUUUAAGUUGGGAGGAAGGGCAGUAAGUUAAUACCUUGCUGUUUUGACGUUACCAACAGAAUAAGCACCGGCUAACUUCGUG
Molecule: ribosomal RNA, 484 nt
Filed under: uncultured bacterium
Lineage: Bacteria
Description: partial 16S ribosomal RNA
Rfam family: Bacterial small subunit ribosomal RNA
Source: RNAcentral